Molecule: ribosomal RNA, 498 nt
Filed under: uncultured bacterium
Lineage: Bacteria
Description: partial 16S ribosomal RNA
Rfam family: Bacterial small subunit ribosomal RNA
Source: RNAcentral
GAUGAACGCUGGCGGCGUGCCUAACACAUGCAAGUCGAGCGAACGGACGAGAAGCUUGCGCUUCUGAGGUUAGCGGCGGACGGGUGAGUAACACGUGGAUAACCUACCUAUAAGACUGGGAUAACAUCGGGAAACCGGAGCUAAUAACGGAGAAUAUGUUUGAACCGCAUGGUUCAAAAGUGAAAGACGGUCUUGCUGUCGAAUAUAGAGGGAUCCGCGCUGCAUUAGCUAGUUGGUAAGGUAACGGCUUACCAAGGCAACGAUGCGUAGCGGACCUGAGAGGGUGAUCGGCCACACUGGAACUGAGACACGGUCCAGACUCCUACGGGAGGCAGCAGUGGGGAAUCUUCCGCAAUGGGCGAAAGCCUGACGGAGCAACGCCGCGUGAGUGAUGAAGGUCUUCGGAUCGUAAAGCUCUGUUAUUAGGAAAGAACAUCUGUGUAAGUAACUGUGCACAUCUUGACGGUACCUAAUCAGAAAGCCCCGGCUAACUACGUG